GAUGAAGAACGUAGCGAAAUGCGAUACGUAAUGUGAAUUGCAGAAUUCAGUGAAUCAUCGAAUCUUUGAACGCAUAUUGCGCUCUCUGGUAUUCCGGAGAGCAUGCUUGUUUGAGUAUCAGUAAACACCUCAACUCCCCUUUCUUUUUUGAAAUGGGAGCUGGACUUGAGUGAUCCCAACGCUUUUCUCACCGAAAAGUGGCGGGUUACUUGAAAUGCAGGUGCAGCUGGACUUUUCUCUGAGCUAAAAGCAUAUCUAUUUAGUCUGCCUAAACACAGAUUAUUACCUUUGCUGCAGCUAACAUAAAGGAGAUUAGUUCUUGUGCUGACUGAUGCAGGAUUCACAGAGACAGCUUCGGCUGGCCUUUGUAAACUCGAUCUCAAAUCAAGUAAGACUACCCGCUGAACUUAAGCAUAUCAAUAAGCGGAGGA
RNAcentral lists this unclassified non-coding RNA (431 nucleotides) under soil metagenome. RNAcentral describes it as "partial contains 5.8S ribosomal RNA, internal transcribed spacer 2, and large subunit ribosomal RNA". The stretch from base 1 to 120 matches the Rfam family "5.8S ribosomal RNA", at positions 35 to 154 of the family's 154-position model. The record is from RNAcentral.